CGGUGUCUCAGUUCCUAAGACCAUCAGAAAUACGUGUUUUCUGAUGGUCUUAGGCGACCCCUGUGAAAUGGUUGUUCGACCCCCGAAGGGGUCGCGACCCACAGGUUGAGAACCGCUGUGCUAGAGGUUAAUUUCACUUUGGAUAUUUGGUUUUUUGAGUAUGCUAUCUAUCUCAAUAGAAUAAUUAUAGCAUUAAUAGUGAUGAUAGGAAUUAGAAACAAUUUAAUUGUAAAAUCUUACAGUUAAGUAUUUCUAUUUCCUACCAUUGCCAGGAACUUUCAGAGAAAAUGCAAGGCUUGGGGCAACUAAUUUUUGAGGCCCUUCAAAAAAAAAAAAAGACAAAAUUGAUAAAUAUACAGCAG
This 362-nucleotide long non-coding RNA is filed under the name Androctonus crassicauda. Lineage: Eukaryota; Metazoa; Arthropoda; Arachnida; Scorpiones; Buthidae. The record is from RNAcentral.